RNAcentral lists this ribosomal RNA (114 nucleotides) under Candidatus Micrarchaeota archaeon RBG_16_49_10. The record is from RNAcentral. Lineage: Archaea; Nanobdellati; Microcaldota.
GUUGGCGAUCAAAACGGAAAGGAAACACCUGUUCCCAUUCGAACACAGAAGUUAAGCUUUCCAGUGAUCUGGCGUGUACUGCCUUAGGGCGGGAAAACCAGGACAUUGCCAACA